Molecule: transfer RNA, 64 nt
Filed under: Sitona callosus
Lineage: Eukaryota; Metazoa; Arthropoda; Insecta; Coleoptera; Curculionidae
Description: tRNA-Trp
Source: RNAcentral
AAGGAUUUAAGUUAAAUAAACUAUUGACCUUCAAAGUCAAAAAUAGGAUCGUUUCUAAGCCUUA